UAAUGAUCCCUCCGUAGGUGAACCUGCGGAGGGAUCAUU
This 39-nucleotide ribosomal RNA is filed under the name uncultured fungus. RNAcentral's name for it is "partial 18S ribosomal RNA". Lineage: Eukaryota; Fungi. The record is from RNAcentral.